UACAGAGGUCCCAAGCGUUGUUCGGAUUCACUGGGCGUAAAGGGUGCGUAGGUGGUCAGGUAAGUCGGAUGUGAAAUCUCCGAGCUCAACUCGGAAACUGCAUUGGAAACUACCUGGCUCGAGGGUUGGAGGGGGGACUGGAAGUGCUUGGUGUAGCAGUGAAAUGCGUAGAUAUCGAGAGGAACACCAGUGGCGAAGGCGAGUCUCUGGACGACUCCUGACACUGAGGCACGAAAGCUAGGGGAGCAAACAGG
RNAcentral lists this ribosomal RNA (254 nucleotides) under uncultured bacterium. Its description in RNAcentral is "partial 16S ribosomal RNA". It matches the Rfam family "Bacterial small subunit ribosomal RNA", at positions 524 to 776 of the family's 1533-position model. The record is from RNAcentral.